UUACGGGAGGCAGCAGUUAGGAAUCUUGCGCAAUGGGCGAAAGCCUGACGCAGCGAUGCCGCGUGCGGGAUGAAGGCCUUCGGGUCGUAAACCGCUUUCAGCAGGGACGAUAGUGACGGUACCUGCAGAAGAAGCCCCGGCCAACUACGUGCCAGCAGCCGCGGUAAUACGUAGGGGGCGAGCGUUGUCCGGAUUUAUUGGGCGUAAAGAGCUCGUAGGCGGUUUGGUAAGUCGGGUGUGAAAUCUCCACGCUCAACGUGGAGGGGCCACUCGAUACUGCCAUGACUCGAGUCCGGUAGAGGAGUGUGGAAUUCCCGGUGUAGCGGUGAAAUGCGCAGAUAUCGGGAGGAACACCCGUAGCGAAGGCGGCACUCUGGGCCGGAACUGACGCUGAGGAGCGAAAGCGUGGGGAGCAAACAGGAUUAGAUACCCUAGUAA
This 438-nucleotide ribosomal RNA is filed under the name uncultured bacterium. Its description in RNAcentral is "bacterial SSU rRNA". It matches the Rfam family "Bacterial small subunit ribosomal RNA", at positions 339 to 793 of the family's 1533-position model. The record is from RNAcentral.